RNAcentral lists this ribosomal RNA (497 nucleotides) under uncultured bacterium. Its description in RNAcentral is "partial 16S ribosomal RNA". It matches the Rfam family "Bacterial small subunit ribosomal RNA", at positions 28 to 507 of the family's 1533-position model. The record is from RNAcentral.
GACGAACGCUGGCGGCGUGCCUAAUACAUGCAAGUAGAACGCUGAAGUGAGGAGCUUGCUCUUCUUGGAUGAGUUGCGAACGGGUGAGUAACGCGUAGGUAACCUGCCUGGUAGCGGGGGAUAACUAUUGGAAACGAUAGCUAAUACCGCAUAAAAUGGAUUAUCGCAUGAUAAUCCAUUGAAAGGUGCAAAUGCAUCACUACCAGAUGGACCUGCGUUGUAUUAGCUAGUUGGUGGGGUAACGGCUCAUCAAGGCGACGAUACAUAGCCGACCUGAGAGGGUGAACGGCCACACUGGGACUUAGACACGGCCCAGACUCCUACGGGAGGCAGCAGUAGGGAAUCUUCGGCAAUGGGCGGAAGUCUGACCGAGCAACGCCGCGUGAGUGAAGAAGGUUUUCGGAUCGUAAAGCUCUGUUGUAAGAGAAGAACGAGUGUGAGAGUGGAAAGUUCACACUGUGACGGUAUCUUACCAGAAAGGGACGGCUAACUACGUG